RNAcentral lists this ribosomal RNA (487 nucleotides) under uncultured bacterium. Its description in RNAcentral is "bacterial SSU rRNA". It matches the Rfam family "Bacterial small subunit ribosomal RNA", at positions 28 to 507 of the family's 1533-position model. The record is from RNAcentral.
GAUGAACGCUAGCGGGAGGCUUAAUACAUGCAAGUCGAGCGGUAACUGACCGAUAGCAAUAUUGGUUAGCUAGAGCGGCGCACGGGUGAGUAACGCGUACAUAACCUACCCUAUACUGGGGGAUAGCCUUGGGAAACUGAGAUUAAUACCCCAUGGUAUUAUUUGGCCACCUGGUUGAAUAAUUAAAGUUGCGGCGGUAUAGGAUGGGUGUGCGUCUGAUUAGCUAGUUGGUAGGGUAACGGCCUACCAAGGCGAUGAUCAGUAGGGGGCGUGAGAGCGUGGUCCCCCACACGGGCACUGAGACACGGGCCCGACUCCUACGGGAGGCAGCAGUAAGGAAUAUUGGUCAAUGGACGAAAGUCUGAACCAGCCAUGCCGCGUGAAGGAUGAAGGCCCUCUGGGUUGUAAACUUCUUUUAUAGGGGACGAAAAAGGGAAUUCUUUCCCACUUGACGGUACCCUAGGAAUAAGCACCGGCUAACUCCGUG